This 78-nucleotide transfer RNA is filed under the name Paraclostridium bifermentans. RNAcentral's name for it is "tRNA-Met". It matches the Rfam family "tRNA". Rfam says of the family: Transfer RNA (tRNA) molecules are approximately 80 nucleotides in length. Lineage: Bacteria; Bacillati; Bacillota; Clostridia; Peptostreptococcales; Peptostreptococcaceae. The record is from RNAcentral.
CGUGGGAUGGAGACAGUUGGCAGCUCGUUGGGCUCAUAACCCAAAGGUCUGCAGGUUCGAGUCCUGCUCCCGCAACCA